GGAGAGGUGCCGGAGCGGUUGAACGGGACGGUUUCGAAAACCGUUGAGGGAUUAACUUCCCUCCGAGGGUUCGAAUCCCUCCCUCUCCG
RNAcentral lists this transfer RNA (89 nucleotides) under Planctomycetota bacterium. RNAcentral's name for it is "Planctomycetes bacterium tRNA-Ser". It matches the Rfam family "tRNA". Rfam says of the family: Transfer RNA (tRNA) molecules are approximately 80 nucleotides in length. Their secondary structure includes four short double-helical elements and three loops (D, anti-codon, and T loops). The record is from RNAcentral. Lineage: Bacteria; Pseudomonadati; Planctomycetota.